RNAcentral lists this ribosomal RNA (364 nucleotides) under uncultured bacterium. Its description in RNAcentral is "bacterial SSU rRNA". It matches the Rfam family "Bacterial small subunit ribosomal RNA", at positions 29 to 418 of the family's 1533-position model. The record is from RNAcentral.
AGCGAACGCUGGCGGCAGGCUUAACACAUGCAAGUCGAGCGGGCGUAGCAAUACGUCAGCGGCAGACGGGUGAGUAACGCGUGGGAACGUACCUUUUGGUUCGGAACAACCCAGGGAAACUUGGGCUAAUGCCGGAUAAGCCCUUACGGGGAAAGAUUUAUCGCCAAAAGAUCGGCCCGCGUCUGAUUAGCUAGUUGGUGAGGUAACGGCUCACCAAGGCGACGAUCAGUAGCUGGUCUGAGAGGACGAUCAGCCACACUGGGACUGAGACACGGCCCAGACUCCUACGGGAGGCAGCAGUGGGGAAUCUUGCACAAUGGGCGAAAGCCUGAUGCAGCGACGCCGCGUGAGGGAAGAAGGCUUU